Molecule: ribosomal RNA, 961 nt
Filed under: Listeria monocytogenes
Lineage: Bacteria; Bacillati; Bacillota; Bacilli; Caryophanales; Listeriaceae
Description: bacterial SSU rRNA
Rfam family: Bacterial small subunit ribosomal RNA
Source: RNAcentral
GCGCAGGCGGUUUCUUAAGUCUGAUGUGAAAGCCCCCGGCUCAACCGGGGAGGGUCAUUGGAAACUGGGAGACUUGAGUGCAGAAGAGGAGAGUGGAAUUCCAUGUGUAGCGGUGAAAUGCGUAGAUAUAUGGAGGAACACCAGUGGCGAAGGCGGCUCUCUGGUCUGUAACUGACGCUGAGGCUCGAAAGCGUGGGGAGCGAACAGGAUUAGAUACCCUGGUAGUCCACGCCGUAAACGAUGAGUGCUAAGUGUUGGAGGGUUUCCGCCCUUCAGUGCUGCAGCAAACGCAUUAAGCACUCCGCCUGGGGAGUACGACCGCAAGGUUGAAACUCAAAGGAAUUGACGGGGGCCCGCACAAGCGGUGGAGCAUGUGGUUUAAUUCGAAGCAACGCGAAGAACCUUACCAGGUCUUGACAUCCUUUGACCACUCUAGAGAUAGAGCUUCCCCUUCGGGGGCAAAGUGACAGGUGGUGCAUGGUUGUCGUCAGCUCGUGUCGUGAGAUGUUGGGUUAAGUCCCGCAACGAGCGCAACCCUUAUUGUUAGUUGCCAUCAUUUAGUUGGGCACUCUAGCGAGACUGCCGGUGACAAACCGGAGGAAGGUGGGGAUGACGUCAAAUCAUCAUGCCCCUUAUGACCUGGGCUACACACGUGCUACAAUGGGAAGUACAACGAGUUGCGAAGUCGCGAGGCUAAGCUAAUCUCUUAAAGCUUCUCUCAGUUCGGAUUGUAGGCUGCAACUCGCCUACAUGAAGCCGGAAUCGCUAGUAAUCGCGGAUCAGCACGCCGCGGUGAAUACGUUCCCGGGCCUUGUACACACCGCCCGUCACACCACGAGAGUUUGUAACACCCGAAGUCGGUGAGGUAACCUUUUUGGAGCCAGCCGCCUAAGGUGGGAUAGAUGAUUGGGGUGAAGUCGUAACAAGGUAGCCGUAUCGGAAGGUGCGGCUGGAUCACCUC